This 254-nucleotide ribosomal RNA is filed under the name uncultured bacterium. RNAcentral describes it as "partial 16S ribosomal RNA". It matches the Rfam family "Bacterial small subunit ribosomal RNA", at positions 524 to 776 of the family's 1533-position model. The record is from RNAcentral.
UACGUAGGGGCCAAGCGUUGUCCGGAUUUAUUGGGCGUAAAGAGCUCGUAGGCGGUUCGGCAAGUCAGCUGUGAAAUCUCCACGCUCAACGUGGAGGGGUCAGCUGAUACUGCUGUGACUUGAGUCCGGUAGGGGAGUGUGGAAUUCCCGGUGUAGCGGUGAAAUGCGCAGAUAUCAGGAGGAACACCAAUUGCGAAGGCAGCUCGCUGGGACGUUACUGACGCUGAGACGCGAAAGCGUGGGGAGCAAACAGG